UCAAAACAGCGGACUUCGGUCCUUGCUGCACCCUUGUCUUUUGCGUACCGUAUGUUUCCUCGGCGGGCUUGCCUGCCGGUUGGACAUUAUCAAACCUUUUUGUAGGUUUGCAAUCAGCGUCAGAAAAUAAUAAUAAUUA
RNAcentral lists this unclassified non-coding RNA (139 nucleotides) under soil metagenome. RNAcentral describes it as "partial internal transcribed spacer 1". The record is from RNAcentral.